Non-coding RNA from Phrynosoma platyrhinos (Desert horned lizard), 71 nucleotides. NCBI's taxonomy places the organism in Eukaryota, Metazoa, Chordata, Lepidosauria, Squamata, Phrynosomatidae. The record is from the annotation of a GenBank genome assembly.
GCCAGUGUGGCCUAGUGGUUUAAGUGUUGGAUUAUGACUCUAAACACUAGGGUUCAAUUCCCAGUUUGGCC